GGGGGGGGGGGGGGGGGGGGGGGGGGGGGGGGGGGGGGGGGGGGGGCGGGGGGUUUGUGGGGUGCUGGGGUGGCGAACGGGGGGGGGACACGUGGGUACGGGGCCCUGGACUGUGUGGUGGCUUCGGGCAACUGGGGCUACUACCGGGUAGUAGCUCCUUCUGCCUGGUGGGGGUUGGAAGGUUUCGGCGGUUGGGGAUGGACUCGCGGCUUAUCAUCUUGUUGGUGGGGUAGUGGCUUACCAAGGCUUUGACGGGUAGCCGGCCUGAGAGGGUGACCGGCCACAUGGGGACUGAGAUACGGCCCAGACUCCUACGGGAGGCAGCAGUGGGGAAUAUUGCACAAUGGGCGGAAGACUGAUGCAGCAACGCCGCGUGCGGGAUGACGGCCUUCGGGUUGUAAACCGCUUUCGCCUGUGACGAAGCGUGAGUGACGGUAAUGGGUAAAGAAGCACCGGCUAACUACGUG
Molecule: ribosomal RNA, 467 nt
Filed under: uncultured bacterium
Lineage: Bacteria
Description: partial 16S ribosomal RNA
Rfam family: Bacterial small subunit ribosomal RNA
Source: RNAcentral